GAUGAAGAACGCAGCGAAAUGCGAUAAGUAAUGUGAAUGCAGAAUUCAGUGAAUCAUCGAAUCUUUGAACGCACAUUGCGCCCCCUGGUAUUCCGGGGGGCAUGCCUGUCCGAGCGUCAUUACAACCCUCAAGCUCAGCUUGGUGUUGGGCCCCGCCGCCCCGGCGGGCCCUAAAGUCAGUGGCGGUGCCGUCCGGCUCCGAGCGUAGUAAUUCUUCUCGCUCUGGAGGUCCGGUCGUGUGCUCGCCAGCAACCCCAAUUUUUUUCAGGUUGACCUCGGAUCAGGUAGGGAUACCCGCUGAACUUAAGCAUAUCAAUAAGCGGAGGA
RNAcentral lists this unclassified non-coding RNA (327 nucleotides) under soil metagenome. RNAcentral's name for it is "partial contains 5.8S ribosomal RNA, internal transcribed spacer 2, and large subunit ribosomal RNA". The stretch from base 1 to 119 matches the Rfam family "5.8S ribosomal RNA", at positions 35 to 154 of the family's 154-position model. The record is from RNAcentral.